GACAUAGGGUGCGAGCGUUAAUCGGAAUUACUGGGCGUAAAGCGUGCGCAGGCGGUUUGCUAAGACCGAUGUGAAAUCCCCGGGCUUAACCUGGGAACUGCAUUGGUGACUGGCAGGCUAGAGUAUGGCAGAGGGGGGUAGAAUUCCACGUGUAGCAGUGAAAUGCGUAGAGAUGUGGAGGAAUACCGAUGGCGAAGGCAGCCCCCUGGGCCAAUACUGACGCUCAUGCACGAAAGCGUGGGGAGCAAACAGG
RNAcentral lists this ribosomal RNA (253 nucleotides) under uncultured bacterium. RNAcentral describes it as "partial 16S ribosomal RNA". It matches the Rfam family "Bacterial small subunit ribosomal RNA", at positions 524 to 776 of the family's 1533-position model. The record is from RNAcentral.